UGGGAUAAUUGGAGAACUCUAUUAAGCAUCAUGAUAGCUUAUUUAUGUAAGAGUGGAUUUGGUCAUAAUUCCAUCCCUUAAGUGGUUUUAUUUAAUAAAGUAAUGUUAACUAUUAAUGUCAUCACUGGAGUUAGUACUCACACAUCACUAUUCUUUUCUCUGAUCACUUUCUCAAUCCUACCUCAUCAUGUGACCAAAACAUGUCUAUUUGAGUUGAAAGUGUUUUUGCCAUGUUAGACACUUUCCUGCUAAGAGACAGGAUAUUGAGCAAACUUCUUAAUAAGUUAGUGUUGCUAUUUUAUUUAUAUAUGUAUAUAUACCUACACAUAUACACACACACAUUAUUUUGCUGUGGCUACUUUUAAUUUUAUAGAAUCCAUUUUUGUUGAGGCCCUCCUCAUAGGCAGUUAUUU
RNAcentral lists this long non-coding RNA (413 nucleotides) under Homo sapiens (human). RNAcentral's name for it is "non-protein coding lnc-SAMD5-2:5". The record is from RNAcentral. Lineage: Eukaryota; Metazoa; Chordata; Mammalia; Primates; Hominidae.